Molecule: transfer RNA, 74 nt
Filed under: Blattabacterium punctulatus
Lineage: Bacteria; Pseudomonadati; Bacteroidota; Flavobacteriia; Flavobacteriales; Blattabacteriaceae
Also listed under: 2 other names
Description: tRNA-Asn
Rfam family: tRNA
About the family: Transfer RNA (tRNA) molecules are approximately 80 nucleotides in length.
Source: RNAcentral
UCCUCAGUAGCUCAGUUGGUCAGAGCACCUGACUGUUAAUCAGGGUGUCGCUGGUUCGAAUCCAGCCUGGGGAG